AAAGCUCAAAUUUGAAAUCUGGCCCUUUCAGGGUCCGAGUUGUAAUUUGUAGAAGAUGCUUUGGGUGUGGCUCCGGUCUAAGUUCCUUGGAACAGGACGUCAUAGAGGGUGAGAAUCCCGUAUGUGACUGGCUGCCUCCGCCCGUGUAAAGCUCUUUCGACGAGUCGAGUUGUUUGGGAAUGCAGCUCAAAAUGGGUGGUAAAUUUCAUCUAAAGCUAAAUAUUGGCCAGAGACCGAUA
RNAcentral lists this ribosomal RNA (239 nucleotides) under Calycina fungorum. RNAcentral describes it as "Chalara fungorum partial large subunit ribosomal RNA". It matches the Rfam family "Eukaryotic large subunit ribosomal RNA", at positions 104 to 339 of the family's 3401-position model. Lineage: Eukaryota; Fungi; Ascomycota; Leotiomycetes; Helotiales. The record is from RNAcentral.